UGGGGAAUCUUGGACAAUGGGCGCAAGCCUGAUCCAGUCAUGCCGCGUGAGUGAAGAAGGUCUUCGGCUUGUAAAGCUCUUUUGCCAGGGACGAUACUGAAGGUACCUGGAGAAUAAGACCCGGCAAAAUUCGUGACAGCAGCCGAGGUACUACGAAGGGGGCUAGCGUUGUUCGGCAUUACUGGGCGUAAAGCGCACGUAGGCGGGUUGGUCGGGCCGGGGUGGAAUCCCGGGGCUGAACUCCGGGCC
RNAcentral lists this ribosomal RNA (249 nucleotides) under uncultured Hyphomicrobiales bacterium. Its description in RNAcentral is "uncultured Rhizobiales bacterium partial 16S ribosomal RNA". It matches the Rfam family "Bacterial small subunit ribosomal RNA", at positions 355 to 621 of the family's 1533-position model. The record is from RNAcentral. Lineage: Bacteria; Pseudomonadati; Pseudomonadota; Alphaproteobacteria; Hyphomicrobiales.